UGUGCUGUAGCGCAGGCGGUUGCGCUGACGUCUGUCGUUCGUCUGGUCACGGGUUCAAUUCCUAUGCAGCACCU
Non-coding RNA from Caenorhabditis remanei, 74 nucleotides. Lineage: Eukaryota; Metazoa; Nematoda; Chromadorea; Rhabditida; Rhabditidae. The record is from Rfam.